GUGAACUUUAAAUUUUUUCAUCAAAGACAAGAAUGUCACAACAGGGUGUUUCCUUUAUUUCAUGGACUGCAUCUUAUUUAAAAAAACCAUUCGUAUAUGUAUGUGAUUGACUUCUGUCAAGGAAUCAGGUUCCUAAACCAGUGAUCAGAAAUAGCUGCCAAUUUGAAGUUGAUUGUGAAUCUCAAAGGACUGUUUGUUUCUAGCAGGAUGGAACUUAAAGGAAUCGUAUUAAGUGAGAUAAGCCAGAGGGAGAAAGACAAAGAAGAGAUUGUCUCACCUCUAAGGGAUUGUUAUGAAGCAAGGU
Molecule: long non-coding RNA, 304 nt
Organism: Erinaceus europaeus (western European hedgehog)
Lineage: Eukaryota; Metazoa; Chordata; Mammalia; Eulipotyphla; Erinaceidae
Exons: 3
Source: RefSeq, a predicted model, not a curated record